ACGUGCUCCGGGGUCGGUGAGAAUCCGAACCGGCGGUGACAGUCCGCGAGCCGAGGGAGCGAUCCCGAGGUUGAUCCGGUGGGAUUCCGGGACCGACGGUGAUGCAGGCGCAGCCUGCGAGUCCGGAUGAGAGGAAGCACGC
This 142-nucleotide non-coding RNA is filed under the name Microbacterium sediminis. RNAcentral describes it as "FMN sequence". It matches the Rfam family "FMN riboswitch aptamer (RFN element)". Rfam says of the family: The RFN element is a highly conserved domain that is found frequently in the 5'-untranslated regions of prokaryotic mRNAs that encode for flavin mononucleotide (FMN) biosynthesis and transport proteins. This element is a metabolite-dependent riboswitch that directly binds FMN in the absence of proteins. Lineage: Bacteria; Bacillati; Actinomycetota; Actinomycetes; Micrococcales; Microbacteriaceae. The record is from Rfam by way of RNAcentral.